This 433-nucleotide ribosomal RNA is filed under the name uncultured bacterium. RNAcentral describes it as "partial 16S ribosomal RNA". It matches the Rfam family "Bacterial small subunit ribosomal RNA", at positions 29 to 507 of the family's 1533-position model. The record is from RNAcentral.
AAUGAACGCUGGCGGCAUGCCUAACACAUGCAAGUCGAACGAGACCACCGGGACUAGUGGCGCAUGGGGGCGUAACGCGUGGGAACCUUCCCUUAGGUAUGGAAUAACUCUCCGACAGGGGUGCUAACACCGGAUAAUGUCUUCUGACCAAAGAUAUAUCGACCUGGGAUGGUCCGGAGUUGGAUUAGCUAGUGGGGAGGGUAAAAGCCUACCAAGGCGUCGAUCCAUAGCUGGUUAGAGAGGAUGAUCAGCCACACUGGGACUGAGACACGGCCGAGACUCCUACGGGAAGGAGCAGUGGGGGAUAUUGGACAACGGGCGGAGGCAUGAUCGAGCACGGCCGCGUGAGUGAUGAAGGCCUUAGAGUUGUAAAGCUCUUUUACCCGGGAUGAUAAUGACGGUACCGGAAGAAUAAGCUCCGGCUAACUCCGUG